RNAcentral lists this ribosomal RNA (253 nucleotides) under uncultured bacterium. RNAcentral's name for it is "partial 16S ribosomal RNA". It matches the Rfam family "Bacterial small subunit ribosomal RNA", at positions 524 to 776 of the family's 1533-position model. The record is from RNAcentral.
UACGUAGGGGACGAGCGUUAUCCGGAGUUACUGGGCGUAAAGGGUCCGCAGGCGGUUCAUCGCGUUUUGGGUGACAAUCCUCGGCUUACCUGAGGAGGGGCUCGAAAAACGGGUGGACUUGAGGGCCAGAGAGGGACACGGAAUUCCGGGUGGAGCGGUGAAAUGCGUAGAGAUCCGGAAGAACACCAACGGCGCAGGCAGUGUCCUGGCUGGCCACUGACGCUCAGGGACGAAAGCGAGGGGAGCGAACAGG